Long non-coding RNA from Monomorium pharaonis (pharaoh ant), 407 nucleotides. RefSeq lists it as uncharacterized. NCBI's taxonomy places the organism in Eukaryota, Metazoa, Arthropoda, Insecta, Hymenoptera, Formicidae. The record is from RefSeq and is a predicted model, not a curated record. The transcript is spliced from 2 exons.
AAGUGUAUCUAAAAUAUCAUAAAAAACAUUACUAAUAACAAAUGAGAAAUGAUGACUGAAAAGACAUCAAAUCGAAUUGAUAUCAUUUUGGUAAAAAAAGAUCGAUUCGACCGCACCCGAACGCACCCCUGAAGGACUUGGACAGGGAAAGAGCAGAGAAAGAAGAAAGCAAAUGGGAGGCAGCAAGAAGCAGAUUAUUCAGAGAAGUCGGAAUGGAAAAAAAGAAUUUAAGGAGAAUGAGAGAGACAGGAAACGAAGAACUAGCAAAAAUAAUACAAGAGAAAAUCGAGAACAAAGAAAAAGAAAAGAGAAGGAAGAAAAUAGCAGAAUCAAGAUACAACGAUACAUGCAAAGAUUUAAUAAUCUUUUUUAGCCAUCCUAAGCCGAAAGGCAAGAAUUAUGUUCAA